Molecule: long non-coding RNA, 153 nt
Filed under: Dermacentor andersoni
Lineage: Eukaryota; Metazoa; Arthropoda; Arachnida; Ixodida; Ixodidae
Description: uncharacterized LOC126526209
Source: RNAcentral
GGUUUGGACUCCGUGACAUUUGCUUUCGUCAUAUGCGAGUUAGGGGCUUGCCGACAGGUAAACCGCCGCUGUACUUAGAUGAGUUGAGAUUUACACAUCAAUGCCAGCUCACAAAGCAUCUAAUACGGCAAUCAGCCAGCCACCUCCGCAGAU